Molecule: ribosomal RNA, 468 nt
Filed under: uncultured bacterium
Lineage: Bacteria
Description: partial 16S ribosomal RNA
Rfam family: Bacterial small subunit ribosomal RNA
Source: RNAcentral
GACGAACGCUGGCGGCGUGCUUAACACAUGCAAGUCGAACGGAAAGGCCCUGCUUUUGUGGGGUGCUCGAGUGGCGAACGGGUGAGUAACACGUGAGUAACCUGCCCUUGACUUUGGGAUAACUUCAGGAAACUGGGGCUAAUACCGGAUAGGAGCUCCUGCUGCAUGGUGGGGGUUGGAAAGUUUCGGCGGUUGGGGAUGGACUCGCGGCUUAUCAGCUUGUUGGUGGGGUAGUGGCUUACCAAGGCUUUGACGGGUAGCCGGCCUGAGAGGGUGACCGGCCACGUGGGGCCGGAGAUCGGGCCCGGACUCCGCGGGGGGGAGGAGGGGGGAAUUAUGCAACAGGGGGGGGAGGCUGGUGGCAGCACCCCCGGGGGGGGGAUGGCGGCUUUGGGUUGUAAAACCUCUUUCGCCUGUGAAGAGGGGGGAGUGAGGUAAAGGGGUAAAGAAGCCCCGGCAAACUCCGUC